Molecule: ribosomal RNA, 495 nt
Filed under: uncultured Cohnella sp.
Lineage: Bacteria; Bacillati; Bacillota; Bacilli; Caryophanales; Paenibacillaceae
Description: bacterial SSU rRNA
Rfam family: Bacterial small subunit ribosomal RNA
Source: RNAcentral
CACGCUGGCGGCGUGCCUAAUACAUGCAAGUCGAGCGGAGUGAAUGGGGAGCUUGCUCCCGAUUCACUUAGCGGCGGACGGGUGAGUAACACGUAGGCAACCUGCCCUCAAGACCGGGAUAACAUUCGGAAACGAAUGCUAAGACCGGAUAGACAAUCGCUUCGCAUGGAGAGAUUGGGAAACACGGUGCAAGCUGUGGCUUGGGGAUGGGCCUGCGGCGCAUUAGCUAGUUGGUGGGGUAACGGCUCACCAAGGCGACGAUGCGUAGCCGACCUGAGAGGGUGAACGGCCACACUGGGACUGAGACACGGCCCAGACUCCUACGGGAGGCAGCAGUAGGGAAUCUUCCACAAUGGGCGCAAGCCUGAUGGAGCAACGCCGCGUGAGUGAGGAAGGCUUUCGGGUCGUAAAGCUCUGUUGCCAGGGAAGAAUAAGGGUUAGUUAACUGCUAGCCUGAUGACGGUACCUGAGAAGAAAGCCCCGGCUAACUACGUG